Long non-coding RNA from Daktulosphaira vitifoliae (grape phylloxera), 703 nucleotides. RefSeq lists it as uncharacterized. The record is from RefSeq and is a predicted model, not a curated record. NCBI's taxonomy places the organism in Eukaryota, Metazoa, Arthropoda, Insecta, Hemiptera, Phylloxeridae. The transcript is spliced from 5 exons.
CUCUAGUAGUGAUAAUCACAAUAAUAGAUUUAGUGUACGCACCGCCGUCCGUGAUCUCCUAAGUCAAGGUGAAUAAGUACACGUGAUGUUACUGUACACCAGACCAAAAUCAAGUGACACAAACGUUUGAAUUGUGUUGCAUAAUCGAGUUUUAAUUAAAUCACCUAAUAAAUAUUUGAUACUCGACCAAUAUAGUCGUAUCGGGUGUUUUAUUUUUAAUUCACGUUUGAUUGUUGAAAUGAAGACAAGUAAAUGUUAAUGAGUAAGAAACAUGGAAAUAAACAAAUAUUGACUUGAACAAGGUUUUUAUACGAAUCGAAAAAUAACACCCAUAGAAAUCCGGUCCAACAUUACAAAUAGCGUAAUUAGUUGCAUUCAAUUCUGAGAAUAAGAAUUAAGUGGGAUAUCAUUUUUAUUUCCAAGCUCUUUAUGUGAUGUUGAAACACUGCUGAUCGCCGAGAUAAUAACCUUUAACUUGCAAGCUUGCAAGAAAAUUCAAUGUAGUUUGAAAAAUGGAUUUGUUUAGAUUGACGUAAUAUUUUCAAAUGUGAAGUUGAAAAUGUUAACUGUUAAUAAUUGCUUAAGAGAAUGUCCAAGAUUAAUCAUUGGGAAAAUGUCCGAAGACAACUUAUUAAAUAUCAAAGAUCACUUUUUAAAAGUGGAUCCAUUGGAGCUAGAUAUAUUAUUUAUGUGAUUAAACUUA